This 325-nucleotide ribosomal RNA is filed under the name uncultured eukaryote. RNAcentral's name for it is "partial 18S ribosomal RNA". It matches the Rfam family "Eukaryotic small subunit ribosomal RNA", at positions 1470 to 1796 of the family's 1831-position model. The record is from RNAcentral.
CCCUUAGAUGUUCUGGGCCGCGCGCGCGCUACACUGAUGCAUUCAACGAGCCUAUCCUUGACCGACAGGUCCGGGUAAUCUUUGAAUCUGCAUCGUGACGGGGAUAGAUUAUUGCAAUUAUUAAUCUUCAACGAGGAAUGCCUAGUAGGCGCAAGUCAUCAGCUUGCGUCGAUUACGUCCCUGCCCUUUGUACACACCGCCCGUCGCUCCUACCGAUUGGGUGUGCUGGUGAAAUGUUCGGAUCGGCCGUUUGUCGCGGUUUCCGCGUCAUGUGGCUGAGAAGUUCAUUAAACCCUCCCACCGAGAGGAAGGAGAAGUCGUAACA